RNAcentral lists this unclassified non-coding RNA (20 nucleotides) under Hantaan virus 76-118. RNAcentral describes it as "RNA (5'-R(P*UP*AP*GP*UP*AP*GP*UP*AP*GP*AP*CP*A)-3') from Hantaan virus 76-118 (PDB 8C4T, chain C)". The record is from RNAcentral. Lineage: Riboviria; Orthornavirae; Negarnaviricota; Bunyaviricetes; Elliovirales; Hantaviridae.
UAGUAGUAGACACCGCAAGA